Topomyia yanbarensis is the source of this 907-nucleotide long non-coding RNA. RefSeq lists it as uncharacterized. The transcript is spliced from 3 exons. NCBI's taxonomy places the organism in Eukaryota, Metazoa, Arthropoda, Insecta, Diptera, Culicidae. The record is from RefSeq and is a predicted model, not a curated record.
AACGAAUGUUAAGCAUAAGAAACUUCGUGAUUAUAUUUUUUCGUUAUAACUACUUAAUGCCAAUCUUACCGAAUAUAAAAUCGUUUUAAUCUGGGAUUCGCUAUCGCUUGAUUUAAUAACGAUGAAACGCCGUGUUCUGUUUGGAAUUGAAUUUUCACUUUUUGAAUCGAAAUUCCUAUUCCAUCGUCGUUUCUUUGCUAUGUACAGUGUCUUUAGCUCCCAAUCGUGGCUCAUGAAAAUCCGCUGAAUACGAAGCGGAUAAACAAUUGCAAUACAGCUUUUCAUUAUAAGGCAGUGAAACUGUUAUCAUCAUCGGUAACAUUGCUACCGCACACCGACCGCUUUUAGAAAAAGUACCCUUUUGAGUCCAAAACGGAGCGGCUCUGUUUUGUUAACUUCUUGAUCAUGGCUGAGAUUAGUAUAGGAUGAAAAACCGCUAUCAUCCUUACUGUUAGUAAUACUACUAGAUAGUCUUAUGAAAGCCUUUUUCGACUAUUUACAAUCUACCGGAUUUUUACUAUAAUGGAAGCUUCGACAGUAGUCCAGUAGUUCGGAGUAGUGAAUGAAACUGUUUUGGAUGGUUUUCGUGUCAAUUAGUAGUAACAAGAACAUGUGGGUUCACUGCAGGCCGUAAAUCAAUACGAUGAAAAGGGAAAGUAAAUGACAUGGCAAGAUAAUGUCCAGCCGGCUAUCGUCCGCAGUUUUAAUUAACCUCCAAAGAAAAAUACUUCACAAGUCUGCCGAUAAGACCGCUUCCGUAGUUGUUUUGUAUUGAGCAUUUGCAGAAUGAAUUGUGCAAAAUAUUCGACUACAUCGGUUUCGGAGCAAGUGAUACGUGCUCAAAAAUCAAGAUCGCCUUCGCAGAGUUUAUUUUUAAAUAAUGUUUAACAAAUACUUAGCAUUUAUC